RNAcentral lists this unclassified non-coding RNA (327 nucleotides) under Melitaea cinxia (Glanville fritillary). Its description in RNAcentral is "misc RNA ENSMCXG00005008495.1". Lineage: Eukaryota; Metazoa; Arthropoda; Insecta; Lepidoptera; Nymphalidae. The record is from RNAcentral.
AAAUAUACCAAAUAAUUGUGUUUGCUCGCAAACGAAAAAAAAACCGACUUUAAUUACAUCGACGAGUAAUACAACGUAGAUCGACGCAAAAAUAGUCAAGUAACUACGCGUUAUCAAAGAUUACUCAAAAAGUAGUUAUCAGAUCUCAAUAAUUUAUAAGUGACCAUAUGACAAACAUCAGCUAUCGAUUAAAUUAAAAAUUAUCAAAAUCGGUACACCCAGUAAAAAGUUAUUGCGGAUUUUCAAGAAUUUCCCUCGAUUUCUCUGGGAUCCCAUCAUCAUAUCCUGGUUUCCUUAUCAUGGUACUAAAUUUGGGAUAUCCCCUUU